CACGUAGGGGGCGAGCGUUGUCCGGAUUUAUUGGGCGUAAAGAGCUCGUAGGCGGUUCAGUAAGUCGGGUGUGAAACCCCCGGGCUCAACCCGGGGACGCCACCUGAUACUGCUGUGACUUGAGUCCGGUAGGGGAGCGUGGAAUUCCUGGUGUAGCGGUGAAAUGCGCAGAUAUCAGGAGGAACACCAGCGGCGAAGGCGGCGCUCUGGACCGGAACUGACGCUGAGGAGCGAAAGCGUGGGGAGCGAACAGG
RNAcentral lists this ribosomal RNA (254 nucleotides) under uncultured bacterium. RNAcentral's name for it is "partial 16S ribosomal RNA". It matches the Rfam family "Bacterial small subunit ribosomal RNA", at positions 524 to 776 of the family's 1533-position model. The record is from RNAcentral.